RNAcentral lists this non-coding RNA (231 nucleotides) under Lentilactobacillus parafarraginis. RNAcentral describes it as "Lactobacillus parafarraginis T-box sequence". It matches the Rfam family "T-box leader". Rfam says of the family: Uncharged tRNA acts as the effector for transcription antitermination of genes in the T-box leader family. T-boxes are found upstream of many aminoacyl-tRNA synthetase genes and some amino acid biosynthetic genes usually in Gram-positive bacteria. The anticodon of a specific tRNA base pairs to a specifier sequence within the T-box motif, and the NCCA acceptor tail of the tRNA base pairs to a conserved bulge in the T-box antiterminator hairpin. The record is from RNAcentral. Lineage: Bacteria; Bacillati; Bacillota; Bacilli; Lactobacillales; Lactobacillaceae.
UAAAAGACUUUGAUCAGAACCGCGUUUUCAUUCAAUUUACAGAGAGUUCACGAUGGUGUGAAGUGAACAAUGGUUGUUAAUGCGUCACGUCUGGGAGUCAUUCUCUUGAACUGAGUAGGGAGAAGCGGUGAGCACGUUAUUGCUGAAGUUUAGUUUUCUAAACUCGUUGAGACUCUUUGUAUGAGCAGAGGGUAAAGCUGAGGUGGAACCGCGAAUAAAAUCGUCCUCUUA